GAAAUAGAGGAAACUAGACGUCGGAGGAGAGAGGCUGAAGAAGAUGAUGGUGAAAUGUAUGACGAGUUUGGAAAUCUGAAGAAGAAGUUUCGUGCUAAAACACAGCGAGCAGAAGCAGCCCAGAGCCUCCCCCCUGGAGUAGGACGCGCUGGAUGGGAAGCUGAGGAAUUAGGGGUGGCGGAGCGAGAUAGAAAGGAAAGAAGCAGAGAAAGAUCAAGAGAUUAUGAUGAUAGGGAGAGAGCUAGGCAUCGAAGCAGAAGUCGGGAAAGGGAUAGGGGAAGAGAUAGAGACCGCUCCUACGACUAUGAUCGAGACAGAGAAUAUGGUCGUGACCGCGACCGUGAGCGGAACAAGUAUCGUCAUUGAAGAUUGCGUGCGACCAUUCCAUCAAAUAUGGUAUUCAUCAAACUUUGUUUGUCUCAUGUUUUUGUAUGGGUGGCUACUCGUAUGGCACCUUCUUAAGGUUGCUUCAUUUCUGUCAGAUUCAUAUGUCGACUUUUCGACUUAAUCUUGGUCAUUUUUUUUCACUCAUAUGUUGAAUAUUUGACGUGCAUUUCGCAGCGUCUUUUGCCUUAUUUGUACGUCCCUUUCUUUCU
Molecule: unclassified non-coding RNA, 596 nt
Filed under: Hevea brasiliensis (rubber tree)
Lineage: Eukaryota; Viridiplantae; Streptophyta; Magnoliopsida; Malpighiales; Euphorbiaceae
Source: RNAcentral